UUGAACGCUGGCGGCAGGCCUAACACAUGCAAGUCGCGCGGAUGAAGGGAGCUUGCUCCUGGAUUCAGCGGCGGACGGGUGAGUAAUGCCUAGGAAUCUGCCUGGUAGUGGGGGAUAACGUCCGGAAACGGGCGCUAAUACCGCAUACGUCCUGAGGGAGAAAGUGAGGGAUCUUCGGACCUCACGCUAUCAGAUGAGCCUAGGUCGGAUUAGCUAGUUGGUGGGGUAAAGGCCUACCAAGGCGACGAUCCGUAACUGGUCUGAGAGGAUGAUCAGUCACACUGGAACUGAGACACGGUCCAGACUCCUACGGGAGGCAGCAGUGGGGAAUAUUGGACAAUGGGCGAAAGCCUGAUCCAGCCAUGCCGCGUGUGUGAAGAAGGUCUUCGGAUUGUAAAGCACUUUAAGUUGGGAGGAAGGGCAGUAAGUUAAUACCUUGCUGUUUUGACGUUACCAACGGAAUAAGCACCGGCUAACUUCGUG
Molecule: ribosomal RNA, 483 nt
Filed under: uncultured bacterium
Lineage: Bacteria
Description: partial 16S ribosomal RNA
Rfam family: Bacterial small subunit ribosomal RNA
Source: RNAcentral